GGACUACUCGGGUUUCUAAUCCUGUUUGCUCCCCACGCUUUCGCGUCUCAGCGUCAGUAUCGGUCCAGGAGGCCGCUUUCGCCACCGGUGUUCCUCCCAAUAUCUACGAAUUUCACCUCUACACUGGGAAUUCCGCCUCCCUCUCCCGUACUCAAGCCAAGCAGUUUCAGACGCACUUCCCCGGUUAAGCCGAGGGCUUUCACGCCUGACUUGCAAGGCCGCCUACACGCGCUUUACGCCCAGUAAUUCCGAACAACGCUCGCACCCUCCGUAUUACCGCGGCUGCUGGCAC
This 292-nucleotide unclassified non-coding RNA is filed under the name uncultured delta proteobacterium. RNAcentral describes it as "contains 16S-23S intergenic spacer region". The record is from RNAcentral. Lineage: Bacteria; Deltaproteobacteria.